CUCUCUCAAACUUUAUGUUUGGUAUUGAGUGAUACUCUACUUGUGUUAACUUGAAAUACGGUUUUGGCAAGGGUGUGUUAAACAGCCGUCGUCCUCGAUAAUGUAUUAGGUUCUACCAACUCGUUAUAGUGGAAGAUUGGACUGCUUAGCAUGUAAGCUCGGCCUAACAACCCCUUCAAUAA
This 182-nucleotide unclassified non-coding RNA is filed under the name Williopsis misumaiensis. RNAcentral's name for it is "Cyberlindnera misumaiensis partial internal transcribed spacer 2". The record is from RNAcentral. Lineage: Eukaryota; Fungi; Ascomycota; Saccharomycetes; Phaffomycetales; Wickerhamomycetaceae.